Molecule: ribosomal RNA, 216 nt
Filed under: Glomeromycotina sp.
Lineage: Eukaryota; Fungi; Glomeromycota
Description: partial small subunit ribosomal RNA
Rfam family: Eukaryotic small subunit ribosomal RNA (bases 75-216)
Source: RNAcentral
GGGUCAGUAGGUUGGUCGUGCCACCGGUACGUACUGGUCUCACUGAUUCCUCCUUCCUGAGGACCCGUAAUGCCAUUAAUUUGGUGUUGCGGGGAAACAGGACUGUUACUUUGAAGAAAUUAGAGUGUUUAAAGCAAGCUAACGCUUGAAUACAUUAGCAUGGAAUAAUGAAAUAGGACGAUCGAUCCUAUUUUGUUGGUUUCUAGGAUUGACGUA